UACGAAGGGGGCUAGCGUUGUUCGGAAUUACUGGGCGUAAAGGGCGCGUAGGCGGUCUUUUAAGUCUUGUGUGAAAUCCCUCGGCUCAACUGAGGAACUGCACGGGAUACUGGAAGACUUGAGUUCGGGAGAGGGAAGCGGAAUUCCGGGUGUAGCGGUGAAAUGCGUAGAUAUCCGGAGGAACACCAGUGGCGAAGGCGGCCGACUGGUCCGGUUCUGACGCUGAGGCGCGAAAGCGUGGGGAGCAAACAGG
Molecule: ribosomal RNA, 253 nt
Filed under: uncultured bacterium
Lineage: Bacteria
Description: partial 16S ribosomal RNA
Rfam family: Bacterial small subunit ribosomal RNA
Source: RNAcentral